UGGGGAAUAUUGCACAAUGGGCGAAAGCCUGAUGCAGCGACGCCGCGUGAGGGAUGACGGCCUUCGGGUUGUAAACCUCUUUCAGCAGGGACGAAGCGCAAGUGACGGUACCUGCAGAAGAAGCACCGGCUAACUACGUGCCAGCAGCCGCGGUAAUACGUAGGGUGCAAGCGUUGUCCGGAAUUACUGGGCGUAAAGAGUUCGUAGGCGGUUUGUCGCGUCGUUUGUGAAAACCAGCAGCUCAACUGCUGGCUUGCAGGCGAUACGGGCAGACUUGUGUACUGCAGGGGAGACUGGAAUUCCUGGUGUAGCGGUGAAAUGCGCAGAUAUCAGGAGGAACACCGGUGGCGAACGCGGGUCUCUGGGCAGUAACUGACGCUGAGGAACGAAAGCGUGGGUAGCGAACAGG
This 409-nucleotide ribosomal RNA is filed under the name bacterium. Its description in RNAcentral is "partial 16S ribosomal RNA". It matches the Rfam family "Bacterial small subunit ribosomal RNA", at positions 355 to 776 of the family's 1533-position model. The record is from RNAcentral.